GUUCACUGCCGUACAGGUAGCUUAGAAA
Non-coding RNA from Methylomicrobium album BG8, 28 nucleotides. Lineage: Bacteria; Pseudomonadati; Pseudomonadota; Gammaproteobacteria; Methylococcales; Methylococcaceae. The record is from Rfam.